CUGCAGGAUCUGCUUUUGAGAACUCAUGCUCCCUUACACAUGCAUCAGUACAGUUGCUUGUUCUCCAGCUCAUGAUUUGCAUAGCAUAGCAUCCGUUAGUGGGGAUUAGACCUUGACCACCUGCUCAGUAAAGGCUAUCUCCAUUACAUUAGCCAGCACAGUGAUUACAUAAACCUGCAGUUGUUUUCAGCACAGCUAACUACACUUGCUCAAUUUUGUUAUGCAGUGGAGAUCCCAGUAACACUCUCUCCUCCCAGUCCUCAAUUUUCCUCCUUUAUUUCCUUCUCCCUGCCCUAAUAACACACACUGCUACCCUCAAGAGGAAAAGUAAUUGCAGACUUUUUCCUCUCAAAGCACCCUGAUGCAGGCAAUGCUGACUUGCAGCAGCCUUUCUUGUGACUGUUGGCUGAAGCCAAUUACUAUUCACAUGCAGCAUGAGGCGCUGCAUUGUGCAAUUCACAUGGCUUCUGCUCUUCAGACCAGCUUUGUGUUUAUGAUCAAGGGCAUCAUCUCUCCUUCCACAACUGCACAGGACAACAAUGCUGCUGCUGGACGAGAGUUUUCUAUGGUUACAAGUGCUUGCAAAACCUCCCUCAUCCCCUGUCAUCCCCAUCCACAUACGGAAGAGUGCAAAAGCCUGAACUGUCAGCCCCUCUGCAUACCUUUGGGAGAAGCAAUCAAGCUAAACUGGAAUUGUGUGUGCUGCCAAGCUGACUUCAGGAUAUUUCAGAGGAGGGAAAAAAAAAAAAAAAAAAAAAAAAAAAAAAGAAGAAAGAAAGACAAUCAGUUCUUGCAAGGAUUUGUUCUUGAAAACAAGCAAAAGCAUGAGAAGCUUUGUUGCAGCAGCGGCACUUACACUGUAGUAAAUGUGUCUCUAUGCAGAUCCUCCCUGUUCUGCAGUCCUGUAAUCCACACAGAGAAAUGCCUCUACUGCUCCUCUCACUGGCACUACUGUCCAGUCCAAUGAGACUGGAACUGCUGGAGACUGGAACAGCCUCUCUCUCCAAAUCCUCUGAUGUCAAACAGCCUGCAAAAGAUAUUUAUGGAAUGAACAACCUAAAAGUUUCUCUAGGUAGAUUUAAAACUGCAGUUCGGGGGGGAUUUGUAAUUUUUGCACUCUUAGAAAACCCUCCAAGGGGUUCAGGGAGGAAACAGUGAGGAACAACAGAUGUGAUUGUAUAAGUACCUGGUAAAAUACAAUAUGUGUACUUUUCCAUCCAUGGUAUAUUAUAUCCACACCCAGGAUGUAACUAUCUGUCAUGUGAAUCCCCAUUUGUAAACUGGUUUUCCAGUCUCUCAGCUGUGCUUAGACAGGGUUUGAAUCAAGUGUGACAUGAAGGUCUCUCAUAGACACACUCCAAGCCCACAGCUCUCUGCUGUGUGCAGGCUUUGACUGGAUUUAACUAGAACAGGACUGAAACAGGCCUUCCAAGCAUCUUGUACACAUCCUACUUCAGUUUCACACUAACCCCUUUUAGCCGGAUUGUUUUCUCAAGCAUGUGGGCCAUUUUGGCCAUCUUCCCUCCUAACUUCAAAAUAUCCUCUCUAGAAGUAUGUCAUCUCAGAUAAAUACCAACUCAGAAAAUUAAUUCAGUUUUUGAUCUCCACUAUGCUGCCUAUUUUCAUCUUUCCAUUAUUCCUUUGCUACUGAACAGUAUGACACUUUUCACCUGCUGUGAAAGCCACUUAGGUGUUAUGUGGAAGAGAUGCUAGAGCAAAAUCCAAAACAGUAUUAGCAUUAAUGUUAAUCAGUAGUUGAAGAGUGAAAUGCUCUU
Cyanistes caeruleus (blue tit) is the source of this 1775-nucleotide long non-coding RNA. Lineage: Eukaryota; Metazoa; Chordata; Aves; Passeriformes; Paridae. The record is from Ensembl.